GCAGGCGGUGCUAUACUGCAGUCGAGCGGACAGAUGGGAGCUUGCUCCCUGAUGUUAGCGGCGGACGGGUGAGUAACACGUGGGUAACCUGCCUGUAAGACUGGGAUAACUCCGGGAAACCGGGGCUAAUACCGGAUGGUUGUCUGAACCGCAUGGUUCAGACAUAAAAGGUGGCUUCGGCUACCACUUACAGAUGGACCCGCGGCGCAUUAGCUAGUUGGUGAGGUAACGGCUCACCAAGGCGACGAUGCGUAGCCGACCUGAGAGGGUGAUCGGCCACACUGGGACUGAGACACGGCCCAGACUCCUACGGGAGGCAGCAGUAGGGAAUCUUCCGCAAUGGACGAAAGUCUGACGGAGCAACGCCGCGUGAGUGAUGAAGGUUUUCGGAUCGUAAAGCUCUGUUGUUAGGGAAGAACAAGUGCCGUUCAAAUAGGGCGGCACCUUGACGGUACCUAACCAGAAAGCCACGGCUAACUACGUGCCAGCAGCCGCGGUAAUACGUAGGUGGCAAGCGUUGUCCGGAAUUAUUGGGCGUAAAGGGCUCGCAGGCGGUUUCUUAAGUCUGAUGUGAAAGCCCCCGGCUCAACCGGGGAGGGUCAUUGGAAACUGGGGAACUUGAGUGCAGAAGAGGAGAGUGGAAUUCCACGUGUAGCGGUGAAAUGCGUAGAGAUGUGGAGGAACACCAGUGGCGAAGGCGACUCUCUGGUCUGUAACUGACGCUGAGGAGCGAAAGCGUGGGGAGCGAACAGGAUUAGAUACCCUGGUAGUCCACGCCGUAAACGAUGAGUGCUAAGUGUUAGGGGGUUUCCGCCCCUUAGUGCUGCAGCUAACGCAUUAAGCACUCCGCCUGGGGAGUACGGUCGCAAGACUGAAACUCAAAGGAAUUGACGGGGGCCCGCACAAGCGGUGGAACAUGUGGUUUAAUUCGAAGCAACGCGAAGAACC
Molecule: ribosomal RNA, 948 nt
Filed under: uncultured Bacillus sp.
Lineage: Bacteria; Bacillati; Bacillota; Bacilli; Caryophanales; Bacillaceae
Description: bacterial SSU rRNA
Rfam family: Bacterial small subunit ribosomal RNA
Source: RNAcentral